This 62-nucleotide transfer RNA is filed under the name Anomopsocus sp. AnspLA. Its description in RNAcentral is "tRNA-Met". Lineage: Eukaryota; Metazoa; Arthropoda; Insecta; Psocodea; Lachesillidae. The record is from RNAcentral.
UAAAAAGUAAGCUAUUUAAGCUUUUGGGUUCAUACCUCAACUAUAGAUUAUUCUCUUUUUAA